Long non-coding RNA from Ruditapes philippinarum (Manila clam), 1353 nucleotides. RefSeq lists it as uncharacterized. The transcript is spliced from 3 exons. The record is from RefSeq and is a predicted model, not a curated record. NCBI's taxonomy places the organism in Eukaryota, Metazoa, Mollusca, Bivalvia, Venerida, Veneridae.
AUUAUGGUAUAAUUUAUGCAAACCCAGAAAUCGUCAACGCACCAAUGGUGUAUCUGUUUUAACCUAUAGCUCCGCACAGAAACACUUACUCAUUAGAUCUUCAAAACUGAAAAUUAUACCAUAGUCUGGGUAUGGUAUAAUUUACGGUUAUUGGAAAUUAUACUUGGUAGAUUUUUACAUAAGAAGCGCUGAAGAGCUAUAGGUUAAUUUACGGUUAUUGGAAAUUAUACUUGGAAGAAUUUACAUAAGAAGCGCUGAAGAGCUAUAGGUUAACUAUUUGUUAUUUGAUUUUUCUUUUACAUUCAAUGAAUGAAAGUUAAGAUGAUGAGUAAAUUAACCCUGUUUAACAUAAUGAUGGACCGGUCCAUUAUACAGUAAACUGUUGUGAAUUUUGAAUUCUAAGAUAUCUGGGUAUGCAAAAAGAGUGCAAAUUACAGAGGAUGUACUUGAUAUUUUAACAAUUUUGGGGUAAAGUUUUGUUUAAGAUCUCAAAGUGUUAAAGUAAUUGGUAUGAUAACAUGGGACAAGGAGAUGUAUAACAUAAUCAGGCUGCUCAGGGACUUAAGUGCUGACUGUGAGAUGCCAGGGGUUUAAUAAUGAUGUGCAGUAUUAAUCCUGAAAAGGUUAGCACAACCACAAGAAGUUCUAGGAAACACAGGCAGUGGACUUAAAACAGACAUGGAUUAAAGAAAUAGUAAUUUAAAUAAUCAGAAACAUUUGAAACAAAUUUAUGAUUGAAACACUUCCAGCAAAAUAAUUGCAAAAAAAGUGUUGGAUUCUAAGAUUCCAAAACCUGCAGCUAGAAAAAAACUGUUUGUGUUAUAGUGAAUGUAGGGUAUUCUAUUCUGUAUUUGGACUAAAGGAUAUGAUAUUUUUUUUUAUUAAAUUUUGUGAAAGAAAAUUUAAUGUGAUGCAUUAUUGAUAAUUUUAUCCCAAAAUAUGUGAUCAUGUUAAACUCAUAAAAUUCCGCCCCCUGAAUUCUGUCCCAGAAUUCCGCCCAGAAUCUUGUUUGACAAUUCCGCUCCGAAAUUCCGCCCCAAGGUUCCGCCACAAGAUUCCGCUUCAAAUUCCGCCUUAAGAUUCCGCUUCAAAAUUCCGCCCCAACUCAUUUGCAUAUUUCGUCCUAAUUCCGCCCAGAAUCCGUUCCAUUUCCGCCUGGAAUCCGGCCGGAAUCCGUGCCAAAAGCAAAUGGUUUAACACUUGUAUAUUCGGGGGAGAAUUUAAAUUUCUGGGCGGAAUCUGCCUUUGAAUUCCGCCCCAUUUCCGUGCAGAAAAUUUCGUACAGGUAGUUGAAUGAUACAAUAGUAUAACAGUACAGUUACUGUAGUUAAAUGGUAAUAAUAUAAAACGUAA